This 24-nucleotide non-coding RNA is filed under the name Arabidopsis thaliana (thale cress). The record is from RNAcentral. Lineage: Eukaryota; Viridiplantae; Streptophyta; Magnoliopsida; Brassicales; Brassicaceae.
AUCCUCGCUGUCGGAUGGGACCAC